UAAGGGUUUGAAUAAUCUUUACAGACGGAUAAAAGAACAAUUGGUAUUUUUUCUUUACUUAUUAUGUAUUGAAAUUUGGUGUGGGAGAGAAAUAUGAUAUUAUUUGAUUAAAACACAAAACAGUAGCGUCAGCGUUUGUGCAGUUCGUAAAUAAUUUUCGCACAUUGUCAGCACAAGUUCUGGGCAGAGAAGCUGCUGUGCCAAGGGAUGGAUCACCUCAUUUUCUUAGCACGGAAAGCCACACAGGAUAUUUGCUCAAGUUCUCCUCAACUGUGCACCAGUUAUUAUGGUCCCAAUCACUAAAGAUUAUCUGAAGAGACAGUGAACGCAUGAUAACCACCUGAAGCAGGAGAGAAGAUAGAUGGAAUGAAAUGUCAAGAAGUGGGGCCUCUACAGUUCCCAGAUGCAAGCGUUGGGGAGAGCACAGUGGCAAGUAAGGACAGCUACACACUGGAGAGGACAUGUGCACAGGCUCAUCAAAAAAUGGCGCGUUUUGAGACAAUGUGCAUAAAGGACUUCAACUCUCAACAGCAACACAUUACAACAUAUAGUGUGAGUAGUCUUUUAUUCCUUGCACACAAAUACAUCACUCAAGUUAUGAGAGUUCUUGCUUUAUAUAUAUAUAUAAAACUUUAAAGUUCAUCAUUCCAAAUUACUAUGUGUACAUAGUGCUUGAAGAGCUACUAGUAAUACAUAGUUAACAGUAGCAAUUAAGAAGAUUAAGAACAAUGAACUGUAGAAGCAAUUGUUGCAAAUAAACAACUCACUUUUUUAUUGUGCUGAUGAGAUUUGAAGUCCAUAUUGCACAAUUUUUCAUCAUGCCUGUGCACAUACUCGUAUCCUCUGCAGCUCGCAUACUCUUAUACUUCUCAAAGUCCUCCUCCAAAGAAAAAUAAAAAACUAAUGUUAAUUUUCAACAUAAUCUUUAAAGAAAUGUGCAGAAAUAUUAGAGUGAACUUUAUGUUUACAUGAAAAAAACAAUAAUGUAGAAGUUUGGAUUGAACCUGAUACCUCCUGAAUACUAGGCUGCAGUACUAACCUCUAGACCCCUCUGGCAGCCUGGCAAUUGUUACUCUUAGAACUCUACUUAAAUUGAAGAAAGCAGUCUUCUG
This is a long non-coding RNA of Cryptotermes secundus, 1112 nucleotides long. RefSeq lists it as uncharacterized. The transcript is spliced from 4 exons. The record is from RefSeq and is a predicted model, not a curated record. Lineage: Eukaryota; Metazoa; Arthropoda; Insecta; Blattodea; Kalotermitidae.